Molecule: microRNA precursor, 57 nt
Organism: Gorilla gorilla gorilla (western lowland gorilla)
Lineage: Eukaryota; Metazoa; Chordata; Mammalia; Primates; Hominidae
Source: Ensembl
AAAAGUAAUUGCAGUUUUUGCUGUUGAACGUAGUGGUAAAACUGCAAUUAUUUUUGC